GAGAGCAGCCGGGUGACAACGUGGCACAGAACGGCACUGCAUCGGAGUAGGCACACUGCAAAGACGAGACGAGUCCUCCCCAGAGAGGGGAGGCGGUUAAGGAGAGGAGAUUGCGUGGCUCGGAGCAGCCAGACCCGAUCGAAGACCUCAGGACCAAGGAGGAAAUGAAAUGUUAAGAAGAUUUGACUGUAACAAAAGGAUGGUGUGCUUCUCACCUCAGCGUGAUAGCCUGACCUUGACUCCUGAGUUCCACGAUCGCUUCACAACUGCAAGUCACCAUCAUACAAAAUUUGAGUUUCCCUAAGUCCGCGCCUUUGAGAGCUUUGGAACGAUAUGCAAGUUCAAGUCACCAUCCUGUUUCUUGCUACCUCCUGUGAGAAGACCAACAUUUGGGUUACACUUGUUUCUACUCUUGUUCUUCUGCUUGUUAUUGUUGCCUCUGCAGCCAUUGAUCACACACGUGUUGUCAUACAAAAACUGGUUAGCCUUUUUAUUUGUCUUGUGAAUUUUAUCAUUUGGUUCUUAAGUAUUACAAAUUAAUAUUGUGUACUCUCAUUGAUAUACAACUUGCAGUCAUUGUAAAUAUGCGUGAGUUAGGGGUGAGAAUGGCAUGCAAGCAAAAGAACAAGGAGAGGGAUGAUAGAGAUGCAAGAAGAGUAAAGAGGGCAAGAAAGUUUAUGUUAAUAGCGAACACAAUGAAAGUUCUUUAAAUGCUUGAUAAUGGUGAAAGCAACACUUCCUAGGGCAUAUUUUUGGUGUUAAUGAACCUACACAUCAUACAAUAAAGAAAAUUGAGAAAGCA
This 802-nucleotide long non-coding RNA is filed under the name Homo sapiens (human). Its description in RNAcentral is "long intergenic non-protein coding RNA 632". Lineage: Eukaryota; Metazoa; Chordata; Mammalia; Primates; Hominidae. The record is from RNAcentral.